RNAcentral lists this ribosomal RNA (253 nucleotides) under uncultured bacterium. RNAcentral describes it as "partial 16S ribosomal RNA". It matches the Rfam family "Bacterial small subunit ribosomal RNA", at positions 524 to 776 of the family's 1533-position model. The record is from RNAcentral.
UACAGAGGGGGCAAGCGUUGUUCGGAAUUACUGGGCGUAAAGGGCGCGUAGGCGGCCUGCUAAGUCGAACGUGAAAUCCCUGGGCUCAACCCAGGAACUGCGUCCGAUACUGGUUGGCUUGAAUCCGGGAGAGGGAUGUGGAAUUCCAGGUGUAGCGGUGAAAUGCGUAGAUAUCUGGAGGAACACCGGUGGCGAAGGCGACAUCCUGGACCGGUAUUGACGCUGAGGCGCGAAAGCCAAGGGAGCAAACGGG